Molecule: ribosomal RNA, 497 nt
Filed under: uncultured bacterium
Lineage: Bacteria
Description: partial 16S ribosomal RNA
Rfam family: Bacterial small subunit ribosomal RNA
Source: RNAcentral
GACGAACGCUGGCGGCGUGCCUAAUACAUGCAAGUUGAGCGAUGAAGAUUGGUGCUUGCCCCAAUUUGAAGAGCAGCGCACGGGUGAGUAACGCGUGGGGAAUCUGCCUUUGAGCGGGGGACAACAUUUGGAAACGAAUGCUAAUACCGCAUAACAACUUUAAACAUAAGUUUUAAGUUUGAAAGAUGCAAUUGCCUCACUCAAAGAUGAUCCCGCGUUGUAUUAGCUAGUUGGUGAGGUAAAGGCUCACCAAGGCGAUGAUACAUAGCCGACCUGAGAGGGUGAUCGGCCACAUUGGGACUGAGACACGGCACAAACGGCUACGGGAGGCAGCAGUAGGGAAUCUUCGGCAAUGGACGAAAGUCUGACCGAGCAACGCCGAGGGAGUGAAGAAGGUUGUCGGAUCGGAAAACUCUGUUGGUAGAGAAGAAAGUUGGUGAGAGUGGAAAGCUCAUCAAGUGACGGUAACUACUCAGAAAGGGACGGCUAACUACGUG